RNAcentral lists this ribosomal RNA (465 nucleotides) under Vreelandella stevensii. RNAcentral's name for it is "partial 16S ribosomal RNA". It matches the Rfam family "Bacterial small subunit ribosomal RNA", at positions 338 to 795 of the family's 1533-position model. The record is from RNAcentral. Lineage: Bacteria; Pseudomonadati; Pseudomonadota; Gammaproteobacteria; Oceanospirillales; Halomonadaceae.
CCUACGGGGGGCUGCAGUGGGGAAUAUUGGACAAUGGGGGGAACCCUGAUCCAGCCAUGCCGCGUGUGUGAAGAAGGCCCUCGGGUUGUAAAGCACUUUCAGUGAGGAAGAACGCCUGGUGGUUAAUACCCAUCAGGAAAGACAUCACUCACAGAAGAAGCACCGGCUAACUCCGUGCCAGCAGCCGCGGUAAUACGGAGGGUGCGAGCGUUAAUCGGAAUUACUGGGCGUAAAGCGCGCGUAGGUGGCUUGAUAAGCCGGUUGUGAAAGCCCCGGGCUCAACCUGGGAACGGCAUCCGGAACUGUCCAGCUAGAGUGCAGGAGAGGAAGGUAGAAUUCCCGGUGUAGCGGUGAAAUGCGUAGAGAUCGGGAGGAAUACCAGUGGCGAAGGCGGCCUUCUGGACUGACACUGACACUGAGGUGCGAAAGCGUGGGUAGCAAACAGGAUUAGAUACCCGAGUAGUC